RNAcentral lists this long non-coding RNA (434 nucleotides) under Hordeum vulgare. RNAcentral's name for it is "long non-coding RNA (HVUL_LNC015422)". The record is from RNAcentral. Lineage: Eukaryota; Viridiplantae; Streptophyta; Magnoliopsida; Poales; Poaceae.
ACGGAGGUACUGCGUGGUGGUGGUGACACUGAAGGUAGUCGGCGGCUUGGUGCCGCUAGCUGGCCGCGACGACCAGUAUUGUCCAUUGUGUGCGUGCGCGCGUUCAACUCCAGAGAUGCCAUUCUGAUAUUCUUUCUGUUCCUGCUCGGUACGGAAGAAUCAAUGUUUGAUUAUUCCGGGACUUGCCAAGCUUGGAUAUGUAGGGUUAUAGACACGCGUUCAAUAUCAGCCGUCAGCAAAUGAAAGCGACGGCUCUGACCUUCAGGAAAACAUAUUUUAGAGGAUGUGUACCCAGACUCUUCUUAUCUAACAACAUUUGAAGAGUCAGGAACUCAGGAUAGUGAGACCCGAAUGAAUGAGCUCUAAAAAUCCUUUAAAGUGUCACUUUUGCUUUCAACACAAAGACACAGGGCUUACGUUAGUACCAUCACGAC